This 544-nucleotide long non-coding RNA is filed under the name Androctonus crassicauda. Lineage: Eukaryota; Metazoa; Arthropoda; Arachnida; Scorpiones; Buthidae. The record is from RNAcentral.
UACGGCACAUGCUCCGAGCACGCCUACAGGCAUCGCUUGCUCAAGACUAGUAUAGGAGUUCUGAAGAGUUGCUUGCAAGCAAACAGCAUGGCAUAGUGGGCUCAGUGAUGGGCCACAGGACAAGACCUCUCGGGUUUGAGACACACAGCUACAUAAGGAUUUUUCCAAAAAUGCAAGCGUAAAAAUAUGGCGAAAGAAGAAGGCCGGAGCCCUGUCAGGCACGGGGAUACUAGGGGGGGUGACAGUAGGACUCUCACGGAAAAUAAAAGAUCAAAGAGGGAGCCAAAGAUGGGAGAAGGCAUUUUUUGCAAGCACCGCGCAACGCGGACAACCUUUUCUGACUGCCCCAAAAUGCUGAACCCCGUUUGCAUCCUGUCCACUCCCAAAGAUAAUGGGGUCGUAUCCAGGCGGCGCGACUGCUGUGUGAUGGAUGCAAUCACACUGGACAUGUUAGUUCAACAGUUACUAUUAAAUAGAUUUUGUUACUAAUAAUGUUUGAAUGUAUAUAUUAAAAUAUAUUUAUUCUUGUGAUUUAUGUUUAUCU